AUUGAACGCUGGCGGCAUGCCUAACACAUGCAAGUCGAACGGCAGCACGGCAGUAGCAAUACUGUGGGUGGCGAGUGGCGGACGGGUGAGGAAUACGUCGGAAUCUGCCCAGUCGUGGGGGAUAACUAGCCGAAAGGUUAGCUAAUACCGCAUACGACCGAGAGGUGAAAGCGGGGGACCGGCAAGGCCUCGCGCGAUUGGAUGAGCCGACGUCGGAUUAGCUAGUUGGUGGGGUAAAGGGCCCACCAAGGCGACGAUCCGUAGCUGGUCUGAGAGGAUGAUCAGCCACACUGGAACUGAGACACGGUCCAGACUCCUACGGGAGGCAGCAGUGGGGAAUAUUGGACAAUGGGCGGCAAGCCUGAUCCAGCAAUGCCGCGUGUGUGAAGAAGGACCUCGUGUAGUA
Molecule: ribosomal RNA, 406 nt
Filed under: uncultured bacterium
Lineage: Bacteria
Description: bacterial SSU rRNA
Rfam family: Bacterial small subunit ribosomal RNA
Source: RNAcentral